RNAcentral lists this ribosomal RNA (405 nucleotides) under uncultured bacterium. RNAcentral describes it as "bacterial SSU rRNA". It matches the Rfam family "Bacterial small subunit ribosomal RNA", at positions 29 to 483 of the family's 1533-position model. The record is from RNAcentral.
AACGAACGCUGGCGGCAUGCCUAACACAUGCAAGUCGAACGAAGUCUUCGGACUUAGUGGCGCACGGGUGCGUAACGCGUGGGAAUCUGCCCUUGGGUGCGGAAUAACUUCUCGAAAGGGAUGCUAAUACCGCAUAAUGUCGUAAGACCAAAGAUUUUAAUCGCCCAAGGAUGAGCCCGCGUAAGAUUAGCUAGUUGGUGGGUAAAAGCCUACCAAGGCGACGAUCUUUAGCUGGUCUGAGAGGAUGAUCAGCCACACUGGGACUGAGACACGGCCCAGACUCCUACGGAGCAGCAGUGGGAAUAUUGGACAAUGGGCGAAAGCCUGAUCCAGCAAUGCCGCGUGAGUGAUGAAGGCCCUAGGUGUAAAGCUCUUUUACCAGGGAUGAUAAUGACAGUACCUGGA